RNAcentral lists this ribosomal RNA (256 nucleotides) under uncultured bacterium. RNAcentral describes it as "partial 16S ribosomal RNA". It matches the Rfam family "Bacterial small subunit ribosomal RNA", at positions 524 to 776 of the family's 1533-position model. The record is from RNAcentral.
UACGUAGGAUGCAAGCGUUGUCCGGAUUUACUGGGCGUAAAGGGCGCGCAGGCGGCACUACAAGUACUGGGUGAAAUCUCCUUGCUCAACGGGGAGGGUGCUUAGUAGACUGUAGAGCUAGAGGUGGGUAGAGGGUGGUGGAAUUGCUGGUGUAGCGGUGAAAUGCGUAGAGAUGUGGAGGAAUACCGAGUGGCGAAGGCAGCCCCCUGGGCCAAUACGUGACGCUCAUGGCACGAAAGCGUGGGGAGCAAACAGG